Molecule: ribosomal RNA, 1257 nt
Filed under: Triticum aestivum (bread wheat)
Lineage: Eukaryota; Viridiplantae; Streptophyta; Magnoliopsida; Poales; Poaceae
Description: partial small subunit ribosomal RNA
Source: RNAcentral
AUGGCGUCGGAGGAGGAGCAGAGCUCGCUGCUCCUGGACCCGGCCUACGCGCGGAGCAAGUCGGUCAUCCACGACGAGCUGCGCAGCUUCCGCGUGUUCCUGCAGUGGUGCGCGCUCGACCACUCCUCCCCCGCCGCGCGCGCCGCCUCGUACACGGCCUUCCUCGCGCUGGCGCUCGCCGUGCCCGCCGCCGUCACGGCCUCCCUCCGCGCCGACGCCUCGCUGUCCCCGGCUUCCGCGUCCGCGGUCACGUUCAACCGCGUGGCCACGCUCACCGCGUCGGGGCUCGCCGCCGUCUCCUUCGUCACGCUGGCCGUCUUCUUCCGCCGCUGCGGCGGCCUCCGGCAGCUGCUGUUCCUGGACGGGAGGCUCCGCGACGACACCGCGUUCGUCCGCCGCCGCUACGAGCGGGAGCUGGACCGCGCGUUCCGCCUCCUGGCGGCGCUGCUGGUCCCGGCCCUCUGCGUGGAGGCCGCGCACAAGGCCGUCUUCUUCUUCUCCACCGUGCGCGUGGAGCCGCCGCUCCCGCUCCCGCACGUGCCGUGGCGCGGGGUGGCGCUGGUGGCCACGGUGGCGUCGUGGGUGUACCGCACGGGGGUGUUCCUGCUGGUGUGCGUGCUGUUCCGCCUCACCUGCGAGCUCCAGAUCCUGCGCUUCGAGGGGAUCUACCACAUGUUCGACGCGGAGGCGUGCGCCGCCGCCGACGAGAUCUUCGUGGAGCACCGCCGCAUCCGGACGCAGCUGCUGGCCACCAGCCACCGGUACAGGGUGUUCAUCAUCUGCUGCCUCGUCACCAUCACCGUCAGCCAGCUCGGCGCCCUGCUCGUCGCCCUCUCCUCCAAGGACGGCAAGAGCUUCGCCAACUCCGGCGACCUCCUUGUUGGUUCGUCGGUGCAGCUGAGUGGGUUCUUCAUGUGCCUGUUCGGCGCGGCCAGGAUCACGCACCGAGCCCAACGGAUCGUGUCCAUCGCCAGCCAGUGGCACAUGCGCAUGGUGUCCGCCGCUCUGCACCACGGCAAACCAGGCGUCAGCACCUCGGCGAGCGACAUCGACCCGGUCGCUCUGACGGCGCCAUUGCUCCCCGGAGCAGGAUGUGACUACAAAAGCAGACAAGCUCUUGUGACGUACCUGUGGCACAACAGUGGCGGGAUCACCUUGUUCGGCUUCACGCUCGACAGGGGCCUCCUCCACACCAUCUUCGCCUUCGAGAUGACCCUCGUGCUCUGGAUCCUCAGCAAAGCUGUAGUUCUCUCCUAG